UCCACCCACUCAAGGUACGUAAAUGAUGUUUUUGUGUAAUUUUACGGUUCCCUUAUUUGGGAGAUAAUAUCAAUGUACUUUGUGUGGUUUGCUGAAACUCUAUUGCGGGAUAUGUACCUUGACAUGGAUGUUUAGUUCUUUUAGAUUGGCUUUUGCUUAUUGCAAAGAAACAAUAAUAAUUAUUUGUUAGAUAUGAAACAUUUGUCUCAUACACUCUCUCUGAUCUCCUGAAAGGUGGAGCGGAUAAGUCAGUAAGUUCCUUGAAUAAAAGGAAUCGUCUGUGUUUGAGGUUGAUGCAUGGUGAUAUGAGUCAAUUGUGGUUGGGUUGAUUGGGAUUUCACUUGUUUCCAUUCACUUAUGUUUGAU
This 366-nucleotide long non-coding RNA is filed under the name Zostera marina. Its description in RNAcentral is "long non-coding RNA (ZMAR_LNC001120)". The record is from RNAcentral. Lineage: Eukaryota; Viridiplantae; Streptophyta; Magnoliopsida; Alismatales; Zosteraceae.